This 252-nucleotide ribosomal RNA is filed under the name uncultured bacterium. Its description in RNAcentral is "partial 16S ribosomal RNA". It matches the Rfam family "Bacterial small subunit ribosomal RNA", at positions 524 to 776 of the family's 1533-position model. The record is from RNAcentral.
GACAGAGGGGGCAAGCGUUGCUCGGAAUUACUGGGCGUAAAGGGUGCGUAGGCGGUCCUACAAGUCAGAGGUGAAAGGCUACGGCUCAACCGUAGUAAGCCUUUGAAACUGUAGGACUUGAGUGCAGGAGAGGAGAAUGGAAUUCCCAGUGUAGCGGUGAAAUGCGUAGAUAUUGGGAGGAACACCAGUUGCGAAGGCGGCUCUCUGGACUGUAACUGACGCUGAGGCACGAAAGCGUGGGGAGCGAACAGG